This 227-nucleotide ribosomal RNA is filed under the name uncultured bacterium. RNAcentral describes it as "partial 16S ribosomal RNA". It matches the Rfam family "Bacterial small subunit ribosomal RNA", at positions 355 to 574 of the family's 1533-position model. The record is from RNAcentral.
UAGGGAAUCUUCCACAAUGGACGCAAGUCUGAUGGAGCAACGCCGCGUGAGUGAAGAAGGCUUUCGGGUCGUAAAACUCUGUUGUUGGAGAAGAAUGGUCGGCAGAGUAACUGUUGUCGGCGUGACGGUAUCCAACCAGAAAGCCACGGCUAACUACGUGCCAGCAGCCGCGGUAAUACGUAGGUGGCAAGCGUUAUCCGGAUUUAUUGGACGUAAAGCGAGCGCAG